RNAcentral lists this ribosomal RNA (2887 nucleotides) under Escherichia coli. Its description in RNAcentral is "partial 23S ribosomal RNA". It matches the Rfam family "Bacterial large subunit ribosomal RNA". Lineage: Bacteria; Pseudomonadati; Pseudomonadota; Gammaproteobacteria; Enterobacterales; Enterobacteriaceae. The record is from RNAcentral.
GGGUUGUGAGGUUAAGCGACUAAGCGUACACGGUGGAUGCCCUGGCAGUCAGAGGCGAUGAAGGACGUGCUAAUCUGCGAUAAGCGUCGGUAAGGUGAUAUGAACCGUUAUAACCGGCGAUUUCCGAAUGGGGAAACCCAGUGUGUUUCGUCACACUAUCAUUAACUGAAUCCAUAGGUUAAUGAGGCGAACCGGGGGAACUGAAACAUCUAAGUACCCCGAGGAAAAGAAAUCAACCGAGAUUCCCCCAGUAGCGGCGAGCGAACGGGGAGCAGCCCAGAGCCUGAAUCAGUAUGUGUGUUAGUGGAAGCGUCUGGAAAGGCGCGCGAUACAGGGUGACAGCCCCGUACACAAAAAUGCACAUGCUGUGAGCUCGAUGAGUAGGGCGGGACACGUGGUAUCCUGUCUGAAUAUGGGGGGACCAUCCUCCAAGGCUAAAUACUCCUGACUGACCGAUAGUGAACCAGUACCGUGAGGGAAAGGCGAAAAGAACCCCGGCGAGGGGAGUGAAAAAGAACCUGAAACCGUGUACGUACAAGCAGUGGGAGCACGCUUAGGCGUGUGACUGCGUACCUUUUGUAUAAUGGGUCAGCGACUUAUAUUCUGUAGCAAGGUUAACCGAAUAGGGGAGCCGAAGGGAAACCGAGUCUUAACUGGGCGUUAAGUUGCAGGGUAUAGACCCGAAACCCGGUGAUCUAGCCAUGGGCAGGUUGAAGGUUGGGUAACACUAACUGGAGGACCGAACCGACUAAUGUUGAAAAAUUAGCGGAUGACUUGUGGCUGGGGGUGAAAGGCCAAUCAAACCGGGAGAUAGCUGGUUCUCCCCGAAAGCUAUUUAGGUAGCGCCUCGUGAAUUCAUCUCCGGGGGUAGAGCACUGUUUCGGCAAGGGGGUCAUCCCGACUUACCAACCCGAUGCAAACUGCGAAUACCGGAGAAUGUUAUCACGGGAGACACACGGCGGGUGCUAACGUCCGUCGUGAAGAGGGAAACAACCCAGACCGCCAGCUAAGGUCCCAAAGUCAUGGUUAAGUGGGAAACGAUGUGGGAAGGCCCAGACAGCCAGGAUGUUGGCUUAGAAGCAGCCAUCAUUUAAAGAAAGCGUAAUAGCUCACUGGUCGAGUCGGCCUGCGCGGAAGAUGUAACGGGGCUAAACCAUGCACCGAAGCUGCGGCAGCGACGCUGAUGCGUUGUUGGGUAGGGGAGCGUUCUGUAAGCCUGUGAAGGUGUGCUGUGAGGCAUGCUGGAGGUAUCAGAAGUGCGAAUGCUGACAUAAGUAACGAUAAAGCGGGUGAAAAGCCCGCUCGCCGGAAGACCAAGGGUUCCUGUCCAACGUUAAUCGGGGCAGGGUGAGUCGACCCCUAAGGCGAGGCCGAAAGGCGUAGUCGAUGGGAAACAGGUUAAUAUUCCUGUACUUGGUGUUACUGCGAAGGGGGGACGGAGAAGGCUAUGUUGGCCGGGCGACGGUUGUCCCGGUUUAAGCGUGUAGGCUGGUUUUCCAGGCAAAUCCGGAAAACUAAGGCUGAGGCGUGAUGACGAGGCACUACGGUGCUGAAGCAACAAAUGCCCUGCUUCCAGGAAAAGCCUCUAAGCAUCAGGUAACAUCAAAUCGUACCCCAAACCGACACAGGUGGUCAGGUAGAGAAUACCAAGGCGCUUGAGAGAACUCGGGUGAAGGAACUAGGCAAAAUGGUGCCGUAACUUCGGGAGAAGGCACGCUGAUAUGUAGGUGAAGUCCCUCGCGGAUGGAGCUGAAAUCAGUCGAAGAUACCAGCUGGCUGCAACUGUUUAUUAAAAACACAGCACUGUGCAAACACGAAAGUGGACGUAUACGGUGUGACGCCUGCCCGGUGCCGGAAGGUUAAUUGAUGGGGUCAGCGCAAGCGAAGCUCUUGAUCGAAGCCCCGGUAAACGGCGGCCGUAACUAUAACGGUCCUAAGGUAGCGAAAUUCCUUGUCGGGUAAGUUCCGACCUGCACGAAUGGCGUAAUGAUGGCCAGGCUGUCUCCACCCGAGACUCAGUGAAAUUGAACUCGCUGUGAAGAUGCAGUGUACCCGCGGCAAGACGGAAAGACCCCGUGAACCUUUACUAUAGCUUGACACUGAACAUUGAGCCUUGAUGUGUAGGAUAGGUGGGAGGCUUUGAAGUGUGGACGCCAGUCUGCAUGGAGCCGACCUUGAAAUACCACCCUUUAAUGUUUGAUGUUCUAACGUUGACCCGUAAUCCGGGUUGCGGACAGUGUCUGGUGGGUAGUUUGACUGGGGCGGUCUCCUCCUAAAGAGUAACGGAGGAGCACGAAGGUUGGCUAAUCCUGGUCGGACAUCAGGAGGUUAGUGCAAUGGCAUAAGCCAGCUUGACUGCAAGCGUGACGGCGCGAGCAGGUGCGAAAGCAGGUCAUAGUGAUCCGGUGGUUCUGAAUGGAAGGGCCAUCGCUCAACGGAUAAAAGGUACUCCGGGGAUAACAGGCUGAUACCGCCCAAGAGUUCAUAUCGACGGCGGUGUUUGGCACCUCGAUGUCGGCUCAUCACAUCCUGGGGCUGAAGUAGGUCCCAAGGGUAUGGCUGUUCGCCAUUUAAAGUGGUACGCGAGCUGGGUUUAGAACGUCGUGAGACAGUUCGGUCCCUAUCUGCCGUGGGCGCUGGAGAACUGAGGGGGGCUGCUCCUAGUACGAGAGGACCGGAGUGGACGCAUCACUGGUGUUCGGGUUGUCAUGCCAAUGGCACUGCCCGGUAGCUAAAUGCGGAAGAGAUAAGUGCUGAAAGCAUCUAAGCACGAAACUUGCCCCGAGAUGAGUUCUCCCUGACUCCUUGAGAGUCCUGAAGGAACGUUGAAGACGACGACGUUGAUAGGCCGGGUGUGUAAGCGCAGCGAUGCGUUGAGCUAACCGGU